This 563-nucleotide ribosomal RNA is filed under the name uncultured bacterium. Its description in RNAcentral is "partial 16S ribosomal RNA". It matches the Rfam family "Bacterial small subunit ribosomal RNA", at positions 355 to 909 of the family's 1533-position model. The record is from RNAcentral.
UGGGGAAUUUUGGACAAUGGGCGAAAGCCUGAUCCAGCAAUGCCGCGUGUGUGAAGAAGGCCUUCGGGUUGUAAAGCACUUUUGUCCGGAAAGAAAUCCUUGGCUCUAAUACAGUCGGGGGAUGACGGUACCGGAAGAAUAAGCACCGGCUAACUACGUGCCAGCAGCCGCGGUAAUACGUAGGGUGCAAGCGUUAAUCGGAAUUACUGGGCGUAAAGCGUGCGCAGGCGGUUUGCUAAGACCGAUGUGAAAUCCCCGGGCUCAACCUGGGAACUGCAUUGGUGACUGGCAGGCUAGAGUAUGGCAGAGGGGGGUAGAAUUCCACGUGUAGCAGUGAAAUGCGUAGAGAUGUGGAGGAAUACCGAUGGCGAAGGCAGCCCCCUGGGCCAAAUACUGACGCUCAUGCACGAAAGCGUGGGGAGCAAAACAGGAUUAGAUACCCUGGUAGUCCACGCCCUAAAACGAUGUCAACUAGUUGUUGGGGAUUCAUUUCCUAGUAACGUAGCUAACGCGUGAAGUUGACCGCCUGGGGAGUACGGUCGCAAGAUUAAAACUUAAAUGAA